RNAcentral lists this ribosomal RNA (465 nucleotides) under Vreelandella stevensii. Its description in RNAcentral is "partial 16S ribosomal RNA". It matches the Rfam family "Bacterial small subunit ribosomal RNA", at positions 338 to 795 of the family's 1533-position model. The record is from RNAcentral. Lineage: Bacteria; Pseudomonadati; Pseudomonadota; Gammaproteobacteria; Oceanospirillales; Halomonadaceae.
CCUACGGGCGGCAGCAGUGGGGAAUAUUGGACAAUGGGCGAAAGCCUGAUCCAGCCAUGCCGCGUGUGUGAAGAAGGCCUUCGGGUUGUAAAGCACUUUCAGUGGGGAAGAAAGCCUUGGGGCUAAUACCCUCGAGGAAGGACAUCACCCACAGAAGAAGCACCGGCUAACUCCGUGCCAGCAGCCGCGGUAAUACGGAGGGUGCGAGCGUUAAUCGGAAUUACUGGGCGUAAAGCGCGCGUAGGCGGUCUGAUAAGCCGGUUGUGAAAGCCCCGGGCUCAACCUGGGAACGGCAUCCGGAACUGUCAGGCUAGAGUGCAGGAGAGGAAGGUAGAAUUCCCGGUGUAGCGGUGAAAUGCGCAGAGAUCGGGAGGAAUACCAGUGGCGAAGGCGGCCUUCUGGACUGACACUGACGCUGAGGUGCGAAAGCGUGGGUAGCAAACAGGAUUAGAUACCCGGGUAGUC